Molecule: transfer RNA, 87 nt
Filed under: Deltaproteobacteria bacterium
Lineage: Bacteria; Pseudomonadati; Myxococcota; Myxococcia
Description: tRNA-Leu
Rfam family: tRNA
About the family: Transfer RNA (tRNA) molecules are approximately 80 nucleotides in length. Their secondary structure includes four short double-helical elements and three loops (D, anti-codon, and T loops).
Source: RNAcentral
GCGAAGGUGGCGGAACUGGCAGACGCACCAGAUUCAGGUUCUGGCGCCAGCAAUGGCGUGGAGGUUCAAGUCCUCUCCUUCGCACCA